GUGUGUGUGCACGUGUGAGUGUGCGUGGGUGUGCGUCUGUGUGCAUACGUGUGCGUGUAUGUGUGUGUGCGUGUGUGCAUAUGUGUUUGCACAUGCGUGUGUGGGUGUGUGUACGUGUGCAUGUGUAUGUAUGUGUGAGUGUGCUUGUGUGCAUGUGUAUGCAUGUGUGUGUGCAUGUGUGUUCAUACCCUCAGGUGGUUCGCCCUGCUCAAGUCUGGGAUGAUCUUGUAAAAGCUUUACCCAAUUAAAUACGGAGGAAGUGAUGCUGUACCCGUUCUAGGCUUAAGCUUAAAAAAGAGCCAGCAGC
Molecule: long non-coding RNA, 307 nt
Filed under: Homo sapiens (human)
Lineage: Eukaryota; Metazoa; Chordata; Mammalia; Primates; Hominidae
Description: non-protein coding lnc-GGTLC1-6:1
Source: RNAcentral